This 464-nucleotide ribosomal RNA is filed under the name uncultured Klebsiella sp. Its description in RNAcentral is "bacterial SSU rRNA". It matches the Rfam family "Bacterial small subunit ribosomal RNA", at positions 338 to 795 of the family's 1533-position model. The record is from RNAcentral. Lineage: Bacteria; Pseudomonadati; Pseudomonadota; Gammaproteobacteria; Enterobacterales; Enterobacteriaceae.
CCUACGGGAGGCUGCAGUGGGGAAUAUUGCACAAUGGGCGCAAGCCUGAUGCAGCCAUGCCGCGUGUGUGAAGAAGGCCUUCGGGUUGUAAAGCACUUUCAGCGGGGAGGAAGGCGGUGAGGUUAAUAACCUCAUCGAUUGACGUUACCCGCAGAAGAAGCACCGGCUAACUCCGUGCCAGCAGCCGCGGUAAUACGGAGGGUGCAAGCGUUAAUCGGAAUUACUGGGCGUAAAGCGCACGCAGGCGGUCUGUCAAGUCGGAUGUGAAAUCCCCGGGCUCAACCUGGGAACUGCAUUCGAAACUGGCAGGCUAGAGUCUUGUAGAGGGGGGUAGAAUUCCAGGUGUAGCGGUGAAAUGCGUAGAGAUCUGGAGGAAUACCGGUGGCGAAGGCGGCCCCUGGACAAAGACUGACGCUCAGGUGCGAAAGCGUGGGGAGCAAACAGGAUUAGAUACCCUUGUAGUC